ACGAACGCUGGCGGCGUGCUUAACACAUGCAAGUCGAACGGAAAGGCCCCUUUGGGGGUACUCGAGUGGCGAACGGGUGAGUAACACGUGAGUAACCUGCCCUUGACUCCGGGAUAACUUCAGGAAACUGGGGCUAAUACCGGAUAGGAAUCCUUGCUGCAUGGUGGGGGUUGGAAAGCUUCGGCGGUUUUGGAUGGACUCGCGGCUUAUCAGCUUGUUGGUGGGGUAGUGGCUUACCAAGGCUUUGACGGGUAGCCGGCCUGAGAGGGCGACCGGCCACAUUGGGACUGAGAUACGGCCCAGACUCCUACGGGAGGCAGCAGUGGGGAAUAUUGCACAAUGGGCGGAAGCCUGAUGCAGCAACGCCGCGUGCGGGAUGACGGCCUUCGGGUUGUAAACCGCUUUCAGCAGGGGCGAAGCUUGUGGUGACGGUACCUGCAGAAGAAGCACCGGCUAACUACGUG
Molecule: ribosomal RNA, 464 nt
Filed under: uncultured bacterium
Lineage: Bacteria
Description: partial 16S ribosomal RNA
Rfam family: Bacterial small subunit ribosomal RNA
Source: RNAcentral